UCCUCAGGCAUCUGCAAUAAAAAAAAAAGUUUAGAAGACUAAUGAGUAACACUGCCUCUUUCUCUACAAUAUUCAGAACUUAUUGGUAAUAAGAUUCAAGAAGCACAUAAAUAAAGAUCAAACAUUUCAGGUUUACUACCAACAAAAGCUUUUGGGAUGAGAAAACAGGGAGUGGAGAAAUAGACGCCUGGAAAGAGGAAACUAGAGGAAGAGAAACCACAGAGAGCAGUUUGAAGGCAGAAGCACGCCCACAGGGUGCUUUGGAGACCCUCCAGGCUGCAGAGAAGAGCAAGGUUGAAAAUCAAUGCAUCUGGUUCACCUUGAAUCUUGAGCUGCAUAUUUUUAGCAUCAGAAAAGCCUGUAUUGCCAGCAUUACUGGAGAAAAAGCAGAUAACCCCACAACGUCCUCCAGCCAAGGAGGAGGGCAGAGGGCUCAGAGGAGCAGAGUGCCUGCAGCUUAGAUGAUUCACCAGCCUUGAUUCUUACAGCAUGCAGGCUGGUGACUAUGACCCAGGGACCAUGAACCAUGAGUUAGAAUUUUCUGACAGAGUCCCUGAUCUCAGGCUACCAUUUUCUUUAAUAAUUGAGAUAAGCAUGGGAAGGAGGCUUAAAGUA
Molecule: long non-coding RNA, 615 nt
Filed under: Pan paniscus (pygmy chimpanzee)
Lineage: Eukaryota; Metazoa; Chordata; Mammalia; Primates; Hominidae
Description: lncRNA (ENSPPAG00000044817.1)
Source: RNAcentral